AAUGUUGGACGAUGGGGGAAACCCUCAUCCAGCCAUCCCGUGUGUAUGAUGAAGACCUUCGGGUUGUAAAGUACUUUUGGCAGUGAGGAAAAGGUACCUCCUAGUACGAGGUACUGCUGACGGUAUCUGUAGAAUAAGCACCGUCUUACUACGUACCAGCUGCCGCUGUAAUAGGUAGGGUGCAAGGGUUAAGCGGAAUUAUUUGGCGGAAAGGGUGUGUAGGCAGUUCGGAAAGAAAGAUGUGAAAGCCCAGGGCUCAACCUUGGAACUGCAUUUUUAACUGCCGAGCUAGAGUAUGUCAGAGGGAGGUAGGAUUCCACGUGUAGCAGUGAAAUGCGUAGAUAUGUGGAAGAAUACCGAUGGCGAAGGCGGCCCCCUGGGAUAAUACUGACGCUCAGACACGAAAGCGUGGGGAGCAAACAA
RNAcentral lists this ribosomal RNA (423 nucleotides) under uncultured bacterium. Its description in RNAcentral is "partial 16S ribosomal RNA". It matches the Rfam family "Bacterial small subunit ribosomal RNA", at positions 360 to 775 of the family's 1533-position model. The record is from RNAcentral.